RNAcentral lists this ribosomal RNA (492 nucleotides) under uncultured bacterium. RNAcentral's name for it is "partial 16S ribosomal RNA". It matches the Rfam family "Bacterial small subunit ribosomal RNA", at positions 29 to 507 of the family's 1533-position model. The record is from RNAcentral.
AGUGAACGCUGGCGGUAGGCCUAACACAUGCAAAUCGAACGGCAGCACAGUAAGAGCUUGCUCUUACGGGUGGCGAGUGGCGGACGGGUGAGGAAUACAUCGGAAUCUACUUUUUCGUGGGGGAUAACGUAGGGAAACUUACGCUAAUACCGCAUACGACCUACGGGUGAAAGCAGGGGAUCUUCGGACCUUGCGCGAUUGAAUGAGCCGAUGUCGGAUUAGCUAGUUGGCGGGGUAAAGGCCCACCAAGGCGACGAUCCGUAGCUGGUCUGAGAGGAUGAUCAGCCACACUGGAACUGAGACACGGUCCAGACUCCUACGGGAGGCAGCAGUGGGGAAUAUUGGACAAUGGGCGCAAGCCUGAUCCAGCCAUACCGCGUGGGUGAAGAAGGCCUUCGGGCUGUAAAGCCCUUUUGUUGGGAAAGAAAAGCAGCAGGUUAAUACCCCGCUGUUCUGACGGUACCCAAAGAAUAAGCACCGGCUAACUUCGUG